RNAcentral lists this ribosomal RNA (426 nucleotides) under uncultured bacterium. RNAcentral's name for it is "bacterial SSU rRNA". It matches the Rfam family "Bacterial small subunit ribosomal RNA", at positions 354 to 796 of the family's 1533-position model. The record is from RNAcentral.
GUAAGGAAUAUUGCACAAUGGGCGCAAGCCUGAUGCAGCGACGCCGCGUGGGUGAAGAAGGUUUUCGGAUCGUAAAGCCCUUUUCUGCGUGACGAGGAAGGACGGUAGCGCAGGAAUAAGUCUCGGCUAACUACGUGCCAGCAGCCGCGGUAAAACGUAGGAGGCGAGCGUUAUCCGGAAUUACUGGGCGUAAAGCGCGUGUAGGCGGAUUACCAAGUCAUUUGUGAAAGCUCUCGGCUAAACUGGGAGAGGUCGAAUGAGACUGGCAGUCUAGAGAGCAGGAGAGGGGUGCGGAAUUCCGGGUGUAGUGGUGAAAUGCGUAGAUAUCCGGAGGAACACCAGUGGCGAAGGCGGCGCCCUGGCCUGCAACUGACGCUAAGACGCGAAAGCAUGGGGAGCGAACGGGAUUAGAAACCCCUGUAGUCC